UCAACUUGAUCAACGAUUACUUCAACAAAUGAUGAAGUUUAUCCAGCUAGUUACAGUUUGGAUUAUUGUUCUUGAAUCUCUUUCCUACCCGUACUCCAAAAAAGAACAAAAUAGUUCUGAAAACUCUUUCAAUAUAACGAAUUCUCUGGAAGCUUCGAUAAUAAAUGGCUUUCCGACCUUCAAUAGAAGGUUUUUCGUACGAGUUCGGUUUCUUUACAGAGAUGAUUUUUGUGGUGGUGCAAUUAUUGGCAGGAAGUGGGUCAUUACUGCUGCACAUUGUGUUAUAAGGAUUGAACCCACUAGAAUUCUGGUGGAGAUUGGUGAUUAUUCACGAAUACUGGGCGAAAUGUUCUUCUAUUCUGUUCAAAAAUGGUUCAUUCCAUAUGGAUUUCAAAUGGAGCUGCAACCAAAACAGGAUAUUGCGCUGAUCAAGCUGACGCGUUCAAUCUUAG
Symsagittifera roscoffensis is the source of this 452-nucleotide long non-coding RNA. RefSeq lists it as uncharacterized. The record is from RefSeq and is a predicted model, not a curated record. The transcript has 3 exons. Lineage: Eukaryota; Metazoa; Xenacoelomorpha; Acoela; Convolutidae.